ACGUAGGGCGCGAGCGUUGUCCGGAUUCAUUGGGCGUAAAGCGCUUUAAGGCGGUUCGCUAAGUCGCGUGUGAAACCUCCAGGCUCAACCUGGAGACGCCACGCGAUACUGGCGUGACUAGAGUCCGGUAGGGGACCACGGAAUUCCUGGUGUAGCGGUGAAAUGCGCAGAUAUCAGGAGGAACACCAGUGGCGAAGGCGGUGGUCUGGGCCGGAACUGACGCUGUAGA
This 229-nucleotide ribosomal RNA is filed under the name uncultured prokaryote. RNAcentral's name for it is "partial 16S ribosomal RNA". It matches the Rfam family "Bacterial small subunit ribosomal RNA", at positions 525 to 752 of the family's 1533-position model. The record is from RNAcentral.